UCUCCUACGGGGGGCAGCAGUGGGGAAUUUUGGACAAUGGGGGCAACCCUGAUCCAGCCAUGCCGCGUGAGUGAAGAAGGCCUUCGGGUUGUAAAGCUCUUUCGGCCGGGAAGAAAUCGUAUGGGUUAAUACCCUGUGCGGAUGACGGUACCGGCAUAAGAAGCACCGGCUAACUACGUGCCAGCAGCCGCGGUAAUACGUAGGGUGCGAGCGUUAAUCGGAAUUACUGGGCGUAAAGCGUGCGCAGGCGGUUUUGUAAGACAGGCGUGAAAUCCCCGGGCUCAACCUGGGAACUGCGCUUGUGACUGCAAGGCUAGAGUAUGGCAGAGGGGGGUGGAAUUCCACGUGUAGCAGUGAAAUGCGUAGAGAUGUGGAGGAACACCAAUGGCGAAGGCAGCCCCCUGGGCCAAUACUGACGCUCAUGCACGAAAGCGUGGGUAGCAAACAGGAUUAGAUACCCUGGUAGUCCC
Molecule: ribosomal RNA, 470 nt
Filed under: uncultured Dechloromonas sp.
Lineage: Bacteria; Pseudomonadati; Pseudomonadota; Betaproteobacteria; Rhodocyclales; Azonexaceae
Description: bacterial SSU rRNA
Rfam family: Bacterial small subunit ribosomal RNA
Source: RNAcentral